This 201-nucleotide ribosomal RNA is filed under the name Alexandrium margalefii. RNAcentral's name for it is "partial Bacterial small subunit ribosomal RNA". It matches the Rfam family "Bacterial small subunit ribosomal RNA", at positions 520 to 720 of the family's 1533-position model. The record is from RNAcentral. Lineage: Eukaryota; Dinophyceae; Gonyaulacales; Pyrocystaceae.
GUAAUACGGAGGGUCCGAGCGUUAUCCGGAAUCAUUGGGUUUAAAGGGUCCGCAGGCGGGCAAUUAAGUCAGGGGUGAAAGGCUGUGGCUCAACCAUAGCAUUGCCUUUGAUACUGGUUGUCUUGAGUUAUAGUGAAGUGGCCGGAAUAUGUAGUGUAGCGGUGAAAUGCAUAGAUAUUACAUAGAACACCGAUCGCGAAG